CCUACGGGAGGCAGCAGUGAGGAAUAUUGGUCAAUGGGCGGGAGCCUGAACCAGCCAAGUCGCGUGAAGGAUGACGGCCCUACGGGUUGUAAACUUCUUUUGUCAGGGGACAAAUUGAUCCACGCGUGGCCUUAGGGAGAGUAUCUGAAGAAAAAGCAUCGGCUAACCCCGUGCCAGCAGCCGCGGUAAUACGGAGGAUGCGAGCGUUAUCCGGAUUUUUUGGGUUUAAAGGGUGCGUAGGCGGAAUAUCAAGUCAGCGGUAAAGAUUCGGGGCUCAACCCCGUCGAGCCGUUGAAACUGAUGGUCUUGAGUGGGCGAGAAGUAUGCGGAAUGCGUGGUGUAGCGGUGAAAUGCAUAGAUAUUACGCAGAACUCCGAUUGCGAAGGCAGCAUACCGGCGCCCAACUGACGCUGAAGCACGAAAGCGUGGGUAUCGAACAGGAUUAGAUACCCCAGUAGUC
Molecule: ribosomal RNA, 460 nt
Filed under: uncultured bacterium
Lineage: Bacteria
Description: partial 16S ribosomal RNA
Rfam family: Bacterial small subunit ribosomal RNA
Source: RNAcentral